This 474-nucleotide ribosomal RNA is filed under the name uncultured bacterium. RNAcentral describes it as "bacterial SSU rRNA". It matches the Rfam family "Bacterial small subunit ribosomal RNA", at positions 27 to 507 of the family's 1533-position model. The record is from RNAcentral.
GGAUGAACGCUGGCGGCGUGCAUAACACAUUCAAGUCGAACGGGAAUCAGAGGUUAGCUUGCUAAACUCUGAGGAUAGUGGCGGACGGGUGAGUAACGCGUGAGCAACCUACCUUAAUGAGGGGGAUAACACAGGGAAACUUGUGCUAAUACCGCAUAACGUAUCGGAAUCGCAUGUUUCUGAUACCAAAGCUCCGACGCAUUAAGAUGGGCUCGCGUCCGAUUAGAUAGUUGGUGGGGUAACGGCCUACCAAGUCGACGAUCGGUAGCCGGACUGAGAGGUUGAACGGCCACAUUGGAACUGAGAUACGGUCCAGACUCCUACGGGAGGCAGCAGUGGGGAAUAUUGGGCAAUGGGCGAAAGCCUGACCCAGCGACGCCGCGUGAGGGAAGAAGGUCUUCGGAUUGUAAACCUUAGUCAACAGGGAAGAAGAAAGUGACGGUACCUGUGGAGGAAGCCACGGCUAACUACGUG